AUUGAACGCUGGCGGCAGGCCUAACACAUGCAAGUCGAGCGGAAACGAGUUGUCUGAACCUUCGGGGAACGAUAACGGCGUCGAGCGGCGGACGGGUGAGUAAUGCCUAGGAAAUUGCCCUGAUGUGGGGGAUAACCAUUGGAAACGAUGGCUAAUACCGCAUGAUGCCUACGGGCCAAAGAGGGGGACCUUCGGGCCUCUCGCGUCAGGAUAUGCCUAGGUGGGAUUAGCUAGUUGGUGAGGUAAGGGCUCACCAAGGCGACGAUCCCUAGCUGGUCUGAGAGGAUGAUCAGCCACACUGGAACUGAGACACGGUCCAGACUCCUACGGGAGGCAGCAGUGGGGAAUAUUGCACAAUGGGCGCAAGCCUGAUGCAGCCAUGCCGCGUGUGUGAAGAAGGCCUUCGGGUUGUAAAGCACUUUCAGUCGUGAGGAAGGUGGUAGUGUUAAUAGCACUAUCAUUUGACGUUAGCGACAGAAGAAGCACCGGCUAACUCCGUGCCAGCAGCCGCGGUAAUACGGAGGGUGCGAGCGUUAAUCGGAAUUACUGGGCGUAAAGCGCAUGCAGGUGGUUUGUUAAGUCAGAUGUGAAAGCCCGGGGCUCAACCUCGGAAUUGCAUUUGAAACUGGCAGACUAGAGUACUGUAGAGGGGGGUAGAAUUUCAGGUGUAGCGGUGAAAUGCGUAAGAUCUGAAGGAAUACCGGUGGCGAAGGCGGGCCCCCUGGACAGAUACUGACACUCAGAUGCGAAAGCGUGGGGGAGCAAACAGG
RNAcentral lists this ribosomal RNA (770 nucleotides) under uncultured bacterium. RNAcentral's name for it is "bacterial SSU rRNA". It matches the Rfam family "Bacterial small subunit ribosomal RNA", at positions 28 to 776 of the family's 1533-position model. The record is from RNAcentral.